AUGGUCUGGGGAGGACGUAAGCCCUCUUCUGUUCUUCCUGGGCGACCCAACCGGGUCGCCACUCCAGUCACCUCCGACAGUGUGCAUUACCAUGUAGCCAGUUAUUUCCCUGGGAUCUCUGCCAGUCCACAGGUAGAUCUCUUCUCUGUAAGCCAUCUCUUCAUUGUUGGUAAGCAGACUGAAGAUGGUAGUGUCAUCAGCAAAUUUAACAAUGAAGUUGGAGUUGUGACUGUCCACAUGGUUAGAGUUAUAAAAUCUGUUCAGUGCAUUACCCCUGCAGAAAUGUACACAAUGACUUCCUCAGCUCUAAUGAUCUGGAUGGCAGUGCUCCUUAUACGUGACUCAAGCUGUCAGAUUGUUCUGUCUCAGUCUCCAUCAGCCCAGUCUGUGACUUUAGGACAAAGUGUGUCCAUCAGCUGUAAUGCGGCCAACUACGUUGACAAUGAAGUGAACUGGUACCUUCAGAAACCCGGUCAGGCUCCACAGCUUCUAAUAUGGUGGGGUACUAACCGGCAGUCUGGGAUUCCAGAAAGGUUCAGUGGUCAAUACUCUGGGACCAGCUUCACCCUAACAAUCAGUUCCUUCCAGGCUGAAGAUGCAGGACAUUAUUACUGUCACCAGGACUAUAGCACUCCUUUCACACAGUGA
Polypterus senegalus (gray bichir) is the source of this 648-nucleotide non-coding RNA. NCBI's taxonomy places the organism in Eukaryota, Metazoa, Chordata, Cladistia, Polypteriformes, Polypteridae. The record is from the annotation of a RefSeq genome assembly.